UACGUAGGUGGCAAGCGUUGUCCGGAAUUACUGGGCGUAAAGGGCGUGUAGGCGGCCUUUUAAGUCAGACGUGGAAUCCCUGGGCUUAACCCAGGAACUGCGUUUGAAACUGAGAGGCUUGAGGAUCGGAGAGGGCAGUGGAAUUCCCAGUGUAGCGGUGAAAUGCGUAGAUAUUGAGAGGAACACCAGUGGCGAAGGCGACUGUCUGGACGACACCUGACGCUGAGGCGCGAAAGCUAGGGGAGCAAACGGG
This 253-nucleotide ribosomal RNA is filed under the name uncultured bacterium. RNAcentral's name for it is "partial 16S ribosomal RNA". It matches the Rfam family "Bacterial small subunit ribosomal RNA", at positions 524 to 776 of the family's 1533-position model. The record is from RNAcentral.